Molecule: small RNA, 127 nt
Filed under: Rhizobium etli
Lineage: Bacteria; Pseudomonadati; Pseudomonadota; Alphaproteobacteria; Hyphomicrobiales; Rhizobiaceae
Also listed under: 1 other name
Description: miscellaneous other RNA
Source: RNAcentral
AAAUCUUGUGAUGGCAUUUCCGGCGCAAAUGCGCAUGCCGAUUCGCUGAGGAAAUCAGCGCUGUCUAAAGUGCGCCUAGGAUGGCGGCGCACUGCGGACAAUCAACGCGCGCCCUUGGCGAUCGGUU